RNAcentral lists this small RNA (191 nucleotides) under Roseateles depolymerans. RNAcentral's name for it is "Manganese sequence". It matches the Rfam family "Manganese Mn2+ riboswitch aptamer (yybP-ykoY)". Rfam says of the family: This RNA was originally discovered in E. coli during a large scale screen and was named SraF. The record is from RNAcentral. Lineage: Bacteria; Pseudomonadati; Pseudomonadota; Betaproteobacteria; Burkholderiales; Sphaerotilaceae.
GCGGCUGUCAUUGGGGAGUAGCCGCUGCACCCAUUCAGCAGACCUGCGUCAACAGACUUGAGCCUUUGGGCUCAUGGCGCGCGGUAGCCAGGAACCCACGGGUUCCCAGCCUGGCGAGACCUUUGACCAUGCCCCCCGGGUUGCGGCCGGGGGUGGGCAUGGUCAUUGGGUUCUCUCGGCCGCUGAGUGUU